RNAcentral lists this long non-coding RNA (249 nucleotides) under Lathyrus oleraceus (garden pea). Its description in RNAcentral is "Pisum sativum (pea) long non-coding RNA (PSAT_LNC018801)". Lineage: Eukaryota; Viridiplantae; Streptophyta; Magnoliopsida; Fabales; Fabaceae. The record is from RNAcentral.
UUGAUUUGAAUUUGUCAAGUUAAUAUCAUUGGAUUUAUGGGAUUGAUGGAAUGUACAUUCCAUCUCCCAAAAUGAAUGAAUGAUAUUAAUUUGGUAAAAGUCCUCCUUUGACCAAUUUGUGAUCUCAUUCAUCCCCUUCUUCAUUCAUUCAUUUCCAUUUGGCCAAUGACAUCUCAAAGUCAUAAUGCUAGUUGAUUGAAAGAUUAACAUGAGUAUGGAUGAGAUUAGGCCACACCUUUUGCAUAUUUU